CCUACGGGAGGCAGCAGUGGGGAAUAUUGCGCAAUGGCCUAACGGCUGACGCAGCGACGCCGCGUGUGGGAUGACGCCCUUCGGGGUGUAAACCACUGUUGCUCGAGACGAAUAGCGAACUUCAGUUCGCCUGACGGUAUCGAGUGAGGAAGCACCGGCUAACUCCGUGCCAGCAGCCGCGGUAAU
This 186-nucleotide ribosomal RNA is filed under the name uncultured Gemmatimonadota bacterium. Its description in RNAcentral is "uncultured Gemmatimonadetes bacterium partial 16S ribosomal RNA". It matches the Rfam family "Bacterial small subunit ribosomal RNA", at positions 338 to 524 of the family's 1533-position model. The record is from RNAcentral. Lineage: Bacteria; Pseudomonadati; Gemmatimonadota.